UGUUGAAAUUCAAAAUUGAGGACAAAAGUUGGUUUCUUUCCUCACAUUUGCAUAGAGAUCAAACAGACAAUAUUCAUUUGUUGCAGGAAACGAUAAAAUUCCUAGGGCAAAGCAGCACAACAACUCAACAUAGAAAAUGGGUUUCUCAGAUUUAACACCAACAAACAUUAAAAAUCAAAACAAGAAGUGAAAUGAAGAAUAAAGUAGUGUUUUUAAUAUCGAGAACUGAGAAAUACCUUCAAAGUUGCUUUCUCCUAAUGCUUGGGUUUUGACGCUGAGAUGAAACAGAGACUUUUGAGAGAGAGAG
This 307-nucleotide long non-coding RNA is filed under the name Malus domestica (apple). RNAcentral's name for it is "long non-coding RNA (MDOM_LNC002494)". The record is from RNAcentral. Lineage: Eukaryota; Viridiplantae; Streptophyta; Magnoliopsida; Rosales; Rosaceae.